CAAUAGCGUAUAUUUAAGUUGUUGCAGUUAAAAAGCUCGUAGUUGGAUUUCGGUUAAGAGCGACUGGUCCGCCGUUUGGUGUGCACUGGUUGGUUUUAACUUCCUGUAGAGGACGUGCUCUGGGUUUAACGACCUGGACUCGGAGUCUACGUGGUUACUUUGAAAAAAUUAGAGUGUUCAAAGCGGGCUUACGCUUGAAUAUUUCAGCAUGGAAUAACACUAUAGGACUCCUGUCCUAUUUCGUUGGUCUCGGGACGGGAGUAAUGAUUAAGAGGAACAGUUGGGGGCAUUCGUAUUUCAUUGUCAGAGGUGAAAUUCUUGGAUUUAUGAAAGACGAACUUCUGCGAAAGCAUUCGCCAAGGAUGUUUUCAUUAA
RNAcentral lists this ribosomal RNA (375 nucleotides) under uncultured eukaryote. RNAcentral describes it as "partial 18S ribosomal RNA". It matches the Rfam family "Eukaryotic small subunit ribosomal RNA", at positions 592 to 976 of the family's 1831-position model. The record is from RNAcentral.